AUGGGAAAACAAAACGAAAUCAACACGGAAUGCAAGAAUGACAUACAUAUUAUCACGAAGUUUAGGCAGUGAUCAAUUGAGAUGGGAUAUUGGUUUCUUCACACAGUAAAUGGAAACAACUAUGGAUAUGGGUCUUCAGGUGUGCAUUUUGUAUGCCCCAGGUGCUGAACCUAAGAGGGAUCACCCCCCCGCGUGAAAGAAACUCCAUCGGACCCAACCCCAUGAUGGCCAAGACAUGAGGUGGAGUUUCGCUGUCACCAAUACGAAUGACCCAUGUUAUGUCAAGACGAAACUUCCAUUGUUGACA
RNAcentral lists this long non-coding RNA (307 nucleotides) under Glycine max (soybean). RNAcentral's name for it is "long non-coding RNA (GMAX_LNC000674)". Lineage: Eukaryota; Viridiplantae; Streptophyta; Magnoliopsida; Fabales; Fabaceae. The record is from RNAcentral.